RNAcentral lists this ribosomal RNA (253 nucleotides) under uncultured bacterium. Its description in RNAcentral is "partial 16S ribosomal RNA". It matches the Rfam family "Bacterial small subunit ribosomal RNA", at positions 524 to 776 of the family's 1533-position model. The record is from RNAcentral.
UACGUAGGGUGCAAGCGUUAAUCGGAAUUACUGGGCGUAAAGCGUGCGCAGGCGGUUGUGUAAGACAGAUGUGAAAUCCCCGGGCUCAACCUGGGAACUGCAUUUGUGACUGCACAGCUGGAGUGCGGCAGAGGGGGAUGGAAUUCCGCGUGUAGCAGUGAAAUGCGUAGAUAUGCGGAGGAACACCGAUGGCGAAGGCAAUCCCCUGGGCCUGCACUGACGCUCAUGCGCGAAAGCGUGGGGAGCGAACAGG